GACGAACGCUGGCGGCGUGCCUAAUACAUGCAAGUAGAACGCUGAAGGAGGAGCUUGCUUCUCUGGAUGAGUUGCGAACGGGUGAGUAACGCGUAGGUAACCUGCCUGGUAGCGGGGGAUAACUAUUGGAAACGAUAGCUAAUACCGCAUAACAGUAGAUAUCGCAUGAUAUCUACUUGAAAGGUGCAAUUGCAUCACUACCAGAUGGACCUGCGUUGUAUUAGCUAGUUGGUGAGGUAACGGCUCACCAAGGCGACGAUACAUAGCCGACCUGAGAGGGUGAUCGGCCACACUGGGACUGAGACACGGCCCAGACUCCUACGGGAGGCAGCAGUAGGGAAUCUUCGGCAAUGGACGGAAGGCUGACCGAGCAACGCCGCGUGAGUGAAGAAGGUUUUCGGAUCGUAAAGCUCUGUUGUAAGAGAAGAACGAGUGUGAGAGUGGAAAGUUCACACUGUGACGGUAUCUUACCAGAAAGGGACGGCUAACUACGUG
This 495-nucleotide ribosomal RNA is filed under the name uncultured bacterium. RNAcentral's name for it is "partial 16S ribosomal RNA". It matches the Rfam family "Bacterial small subunit ribosomal RNA", at positions 28 to 507 of the family's 1533-position model. The record is from RNAcentral.